This 253-nucleotide ribosomal RNA is filed under the name uncultured bacterium. RNAcentral's name for it is "partial 16S ribosomal RNA". It matches the Rfam family "Bacterial small subunit ribosomal RNA", at positions 524 to 776 of the family's 1533-position model. The record is from RNAcentral.
UACGUAGGGCGCAAGCGUUGUCCGGAAUUAUUGGGCGUAAAGAGCUCGUAGGCGGUUUGUCGCGUCUGCUGUGAAAACUCGAGGCUCAACCUCGGGCUUGCAGUGGGUACGGGCAGACUAGAGUGCGGUAGGGGUGACUGGAAUUCCUGGUGUAGCGGUGGAAUGCGCAGAUAUCAGGAGGAACACCUGCGGCGAAGGCGGGUUGCUGGGCUGACGCUGACGCUGAGGCGCGAAAGCCAGGGGAGCGAACGGG